Molecule: ribosomal RNA, 568 nt
Filed under: Salmonella enterica
Lineage: Bacteria; Pseudomonadati; Pseudomonadota; Gammaproteobacteria; Enterobacterales; Enterobacteriaceae
Also listed under: 7 other names
Description: bacterial LSU rRNA
Rfam family: Bacterial large subunit ribosomal RNA
Source: RNAcentral
AGACCCGAAACCCGGUGAUCUAGCCAUGGGCAGGUUGAAGGUUGGGUAACACUAACUGGAGGACCGAACCGACUAAUGUUGAAAAAUUAGCGGAUGACCUGUGGCUGGGGGUGAAAGGCCAAUCAAACCGGGAGAUAGCUGGUUCUCCCCGAAAGCUAUUUAGGUAGCGCCUCGUGAAUUCAUCUCCGGGGGUAGAGCACUGUUUCGGCUAGGGGGCCAUCCCGGCUUACCAACCCGAUGCAAACUGCGAAUACCGGAGAAUGUUAUCACGGGAGACACACGGCGGGUGCUAACGUCCGUCGUGAAGAGGGAAACAACCCAGACCGCCAGCUAAGGUCCCAAAGUCAUGGUUAAGUGGGAAACGAUGUGGGAAGGCCCAGACAGCCAGGAUGUUGGCUUAGAAGCAGCCAUCAUUUAAAGAAAGCGUAAUAGCUCACUGGUCGAGUCGGCCUGCGCGGAAGAUGUAACGGGGCUAAACCAUGCACCGAAGCUGCGGCAGCGAACGUAUCACCCAAGACAACUUUACGGAGUUGACGAUUGACGGAGCGAAGCGACGUCAAAGCGUUCA